AGCGUAGUAGCUCCAAGAUGGUAGAGCGUCCCGAAAGGGUGUGUGGCGGUUCGAGCCCGUCCUGCGCUU
This 69-nucleotide transfer RNA is filed under the name Siphoviridae sp. ctmHK36. RNAcentral describes it as "tRNA-Phe". The record is from RNAcentral. Lineage: Duplodnaviria; Heunggongvirae; Uroviricota; Caudoviricetes.